AGUCCUGGACUGAGCUUCAGAAGAUCUCAGAUCACUGACAUUCUGUCUAGAAGAAUACUCCAAGAUAUAUUUCUAAGUAAUAUUCCUUCUCUUGUUGGGGGAAAUUAGAGAAGAUUUCUACCUGGUGCCAUAUCAACUCAAGGAUAGAGUCAAAUACUGAGAAGCUCUGUCAUCUGUCUUUGGAUCUCCUUCUGUGAAAAUUGUAACAAGGAGCAAACAGCAAAGAACUGAAAUGCUACAGACUCCAGUGAGAAAAAAUUGAGGUAUAGUUGGUAAUUGGUUUCGGUGUGCUGGUGCUUGAAACUCUAUCCCAGUGCUUCCUUCAACUAAGGCUGCAAAUUGAAAAUGUGAACAACGUUGCCUGCUUGAACCAGCCUGGGCUUGUGGCAGCAUCAUUCUGUCACUUAAUUCUUCUCACAGAGCCGUUAACAAACCAUCUGUAUGCCUAAUAUUGAUGCUGUCUUCCCCUAGUGUACUGGACAAUCUAAGACAGGGAAAUAAAGAUAAGAUUUGGAUUGAAGAGUGAGGAGCCAAAAUAAUGCAGCUUCACUUCUCCUUAAUGGACAGAAGACUACACUGUUUUUGCUGCACCCAGAGAUAAAGUUAUUGGUUUUGGAGUACCUUCACUGAUGCCAGGGGUGUCAUCUUUAACUUCCAUCACAUAAUAUAUAUAUUAAGAGAAUUUUUCUUAGCUUUAAAUGAGUUGGUAAGAGGAACAAGAAGAAAGCCAAGGACUCCAUUUCCAGGAUUAAAAGCGUUUUUUUUCUUUCUCUUCCAAAUCCUAGCAGUAGAAGCAUUUGAGUUCUGCAGAAAUUACUGAAGUGGUUCAAGUGUGGGCAGUCAGGACACUCAGCGCCCCAUACUCAACCCCAACUCAACCCCAACUCAACCUCAACUCUCAGUAUGGCAGAGAGGUGGAGAACUCAGAGCUAUAACUUUCAGGAAUUCUCAAAACCUCAGACCAAAUGCAUCUUUGUUUUACCACCUGUUAAAGUAUAUCCUCAUCUGCCUCAGUGCACAUAAGUAUACAACACUGCAGAUUGUGUUUAACUUCAUUUGCAAUUAAUUUAAUGCAUUUUGUAUCCAACAUUUUUACUAGGAAAUAGUAUUAGUCUAUCCCCAAACUAAAAUUCAUUGCAAAAAUGUAAUUCACUCAAGAAAAAUAAUGAUAAUUCUUGAAACACCUUUAGAUGUCAUUCAACAAUCAUACCCAAUGGGUAAAAUUUAGAGUUCAACAUUUAGCUUGCAUUUCUUUCUAACCAUACAUCUCAAGUUUAAAAAAUAAAGCAGAUUGCUUUGUGCAUUUGUUAUCACUACCACAUCAAUGGUUACCUACACUUCCUGAGCCCCAAAUAGAACUCUCAGAGAAGCAUUGUGUAUUUGUCAAUAUCCUGGAGUUUCAAAACUCCCAAGUGUUGCCACCAUUUGACCUGAAAUUUCCUCUCUUCUCAGAUUCCUGCCUCUAAACACAAAACAAACAAACCUUUACUUAACUUAGCUCAUGUGUGAAUUUUUAGGGUCAUUUGUUUCAUAUCCAGAAAGACUUUAAGUCUCUUUGCUAAAUUUUGAUUUACCCAAGGCCAGUAGCCUGAAUUCAACUUUAGCAGUCCCAGGGCUCAGUAGAUUUGCCCUGUAGAUUCUGUAAUUGGAUAUUUAUGUUCCACGUAUUUCUUCUUUCAGAGCAUAGCAGAAGUAUAGGGAUAAUACCUUAGUUGAAUGUUGGCCCUAAAAUAGCUGCUCAUUUGUAGCACUCAGAGGAACCUGAAAUUAUUCACAUUCAGCCGACAUUUCCAUUAGGUGAGAUGCUGCCUGCUAAUUCACAUUUGCCUGGGAUUGCUCCUCAGAGUUCAGAUUUAAUUUUGAUAACAUAAACUCUAUCAUUUAAUAAAUAAUAAGCAGUAAAAAAUUAAAACUGUUGUUAUUGGGCAUUUGGAAUGAAAGAAAAACAGUAUGGUGUAUUAGGUUUAAGGGUUCCUCAAUAUCUUAAUCUAUAUUGCCUUUGGAAAGAAGGAAUCCUUAGAUAAAAAAAAGUAAAAUACUUUAAAAUUUCUCUUCGUUUCAUUAGUGCAUGAGACUGAGACAGGUAUUGUCACUCUUGCCACUGACUCAGUGACAUGUCAGAAACAAUGAAGUCUUAAAUAUAUUGCUCACAAUUUCAGCUGCCUAUAUAUAGUAUAAAAUUAAUUGCAUUUAAACAAUAAAGUUCUGCUUUUUAGCAAUUUUCAAGUAGAUCUUAAAUGUUCUCGACACAAAAAGCUUAGUAUGUGAGGUGAUAGAUAUUAUAAUUAGUUUGAUUUAAUCAUUUCACAAUGUAUAAAAGUAUCAAAACAACAUGUACAUCAUAAAUAUGUAGACUUUAAAAUUUUUCAAUUAUACCUUAAUAAAGCUG
Molecule: long non-coding RNA, 2389 nt
Filed under: Pongo abelii (Sumatran orangutan)
Lineage: Eukaryota; Metazoa; Chordata; Mammalia; Primates; Hominidae
Description: lincRNA
Source: RNAcentral